UCUCUCUCUCUCUCUCACUCUAAACUCUCUUGGCGUGCCCAGUUCAUCAUAUCGUCCACCUUUGAGAUCACAAACUCCAACCCUAACAUAUAAUGAAUAGAGAUGAUGUUCUUACCAGAGAAACAGAUUGAGAUGGAUCUGUGAGGAGAUAAAAUAGAGUUUGAUCAGAGUUUGAACUUCAAAUUUGAUUGCAAAGCUCAAGACGAGAACUAAGCUGAAACUUUCCAUAUUAGUCUCACUCUCUCAUAUGUGAAUUUGAUCGAACCAGGUCAAGCUUCGGAGAACAACAAAUCGUUCCGAAGCACAGAGCAAGGGCUUUGCUCUCAACUUCUAAAGGAUCAGUUUUAAAGGAUUUCCAUGAAAGAAGAGUUCUCAAGGUAUUGUGAUUAUCCAACUAACUCCCACUGACCCUCUUGCUAUUAUCCAGUUAUGUUUUUAAUUUUCUUUCAAUGGACUGUUUGGCUUCUGAGAAAAUCAGAAUUUCUCCGGGAAGAGAAUUUCUCUAGGA
This is a non-coding RNA of Camellia sinensis, 508 nucleotides long. NCBI's taxonomy places the organism in Eukaryota, Viridiplantae, Streptophyta, Magnoliopsida, Ericales, Theaceae. The record is from RefSeq and is a predicted model, not a curated record.